AAAGGAAUGGCUCAGUUGGUAGAGCGCGACCUUGCCGAGGUCGGGCUGGGCGGGUAGCUGCUGGGCGGGUAGCCUCGCGAGUUCGAGUCUCGUUUCCCGCUCCA
RNAcentral lists this transfer RNA (104 nucleotides) under Pseudomonas sp. Its description in RNAcentral is "tRNA-Gly". It matches the Rfam family "tRNA". From Rfam's summary of the family: Transfer RNA (tRNA) molecules are approximately 80 nucleotides in length. Their secondary structure includes four short double-helical elements and three loops (D, anti-codon, and T loops). RNAcentral also lists the same sequence under 1 other name. Lineage: Bacteria; Pseudomonadati; Pseudomonadota; Gammaproteobacteria; Pseudomonadales; Pseudomonadaceae. The record is from RNAcentral.